CCUACGGGUGGCAGCAGUGAGGAAUAUUGGUCAAUGGGCGCUAGCCUGAACCAGCCAAGUAGCGUGAAGGAUGACUGCACUAUGGGUUGUAAACUUCUUUUAUAUGGGAAUAAAGUGCAGUAUGUAUACUGCUUUGCAUGUACCUUAUGAAUAAGGAUCGGCUAACUCCGUGCCAGCAGCCGCGGUAAUACGGAGGAUCCGAGCGUUAUCCGGAUUUAUUGGGUUUAAAGGGAGCGUAGGCGGGUUGUUAAGUCAGUUGUGAAAGUUGGCGGCUCAACCGUAAAAUUGCAGUUGAUACUGGCAGCCUUGAGUAGAGGAGAGGUAGGCGGAAUGCGCGGUGUAGCGGUGAAAUGCUUAGAUAUCACGAAGAACUCCGAUUGCGAAGGCAGCAUGCUGGACUGUAACUGACGCUGAGGCUCGAAAGUGUGGGUAUCAAACAGGAUUAGAUACCCUGGUAGUC
This 460-nucleotide ribosomal RNA is filed under the name uncultured bacterium. Its description in RNAcentral is "partial 16S ribosomal RNA". It matches the Rfam family "Bacterial small subunit ribosomal RNA", at positions 338 to 795 of the family's 1533-position model. The record is from RNAcentral.